GUCCCUUCCUGUCCCUGCUUCUCCUGCCUGUCCCUGUCCUGCCCAGCAUUUCCAGAGCCUGUCUGAUCCUUCCCUGUCACUCUUGUCCCUUCCCUGUCCUGUCUGUCCCUGCCUGUCCCUGCCUGUCCCCCUUCAUCCUUCCCACCCCAGCACCUCCAGAUUCUGCCUGGUCCUUCCCUGCCCUUCCCUGUCCCUUCCCUGUCCUGCCUGUCCCUGUCCGUCCCAUUUGUCCCCUCUGUCCCUCCUGUCCCACCUGUCCCUGCCUGUCCCACUCUGUUCUCUCUGUCCUGCUUGUCCUGUCUGUCCCUCCCUGUCCUCUGUCUGUCCUGUCUGUCCCUCUCCCUCUCCCUUCCCAUGCCUCUCCAUCCUUCCCUGUCCCUCCUGUCCCUCCUGUUCCACCUGUCCCCUCUGUCCCUCUGUCCUUCUCUGUCCUGCCUGUCCCUCCCUGUCUUUCCCCGUCCCCUCUGUCCCUCUCCAUCCCUCCCUGUCCCCUCUGUCCCUCCUGUCCCUCCCUAUUCCCUGUCUGUCCUGUCUGUCCCACUCUGUUCUCUCUGUCCUGCUUGUCCUGUCUGUCCCUCCCUGUCCCCUGUCUGUCCCUCUCCCUUCCCAUGCCUCUCCAUCCUUCCCUGUCCCUCCCUGUCCCUCCUGUCCCUCUGUCCCUCUUUGUCCCUCUGUCCCUGUCUGUCCCCUGUCUGUCCCUCCUGUCCCUCCCUGUCCCCUGUCUGUCCUGUCUGUCCCUCUCCCUUCCCAUGCCUCUCCAUCCUUCCCUGUCCCUCCCUGUCCCUCCUGUCCCUCUCUGUCCCUCUGUCCCUGUCUGUCCCUUGUCUAUCCCUCUGUCCCUCCCUGUCCCCCCGGUCCCCCCGUUCCCCUCACCACGUUCUCGGGGCUGGGUCUCUCGGGGCUGAUCUGGAUCCACUCGAUGCCCACGCCCUGGGGUCCGUUGUCCUCGGGCUCCAGGACAUACGGACAGCCCAGCUUGACCGAGUCGCCCUUGGCCAGGUACAGAACCUCGCGGCCCUUGCCGUUGAUCCUGACGGCCACCAGGAGAGCUGGGGACACAAUGGCAUUGUCACAGCCUGGCAUGGCAUCGUCAUCCCCUCAAAAUGGCAUCAUCACCCCCAAAAAUGGCAUCGUCACCCCCAAAAAUGGCAUCGUCACCCCCCAAAAAUGGCACUGUCACUUCCCAAAACAGUACUGUCACAUCCAGAAAUGGCAUUGUCACCCUCCAAAACAACACUGUCACCCCUCAAAAUGGCAUUGUCACACCCUGGCAUGGCACCGUCACACCCCAGAAUGGCACUGUCACAUCCAGAAAUGGCACUGGCACCCACAAAAACAGCACUGUGACCCCCAGAAAUGGCACUGUCACCCCCCAAAACAGCACUGUCACACCAGAAAUGGCACUGUCACAUCCAGAAAUGGCAUUGUCAC
Molecule: long non-coding RNA, 1431 nt
Filed under: Zonotrichia albicollis (white-throated sparrow)
Lineage: Eukaryota; Metazoa; Chordata; Aves; Passeriformes; Passerellidae
Description: lncRNA (ENSZALG00000002013.1)
Source: RNAcentral